This 2194-nucleotide long non-coding RNA is filed under the name Homo sapiens (human). Its description in RNAcentral is "non-protein coding lnc-DYNC1H1-3:1". The record is from RNAcentral. Lineage: Eukaryota; Metazoa; Chordata; Mammalia; Primates; Hominidae.
UCUCACUAAAGGCUUGGUGCUAGAAUAUGGCAUUUGUGUCUGUGUGCAUGCUUUUGAUAGUCUUUUCUGUAAUUGUGUGCAUGCUUUUGAUAGUCUUUUCUGUAAUUGUGUGCAUGCUUUUGAUAGUCUUUUCUGUAAUUGUGUGCAUGCUUUUGAUAGUCUUUUCUGUAAUUGUCCUGAUACGCGCAGUCAAAAGCAAGCAUGCUAUCUAGAUUCCGUGAUUGGUUUGGGUCCUCAUUGUCAAUACCACUACCUCCUCAUUUCAUGUGAGGAAAAAAAAAGAAGAAAGAUCUUGAGAGUUGCAUUCAGCUCAUCUAGGUUUUUUUCUUUUCUUUUCUUUUCUUUUCUCCUUUUUUAAGGCAGGGUCUCACUCUGUCACCCAGGCUGGAGUACAGUGAUGCUGUACUCCAUAGCUCACUGCAGCCUCAAACCCCUGGGCUUAAGGGAUCCUUCUACCUCAGCUUCCCAAGUAGCUGGGUCUACAGAUGUGUGCCACCACAUGCGGCUAACUUUUAAAAUUUUUGUAGAGAUGGAGAUCUGUCUCACUGUGUUGCCCAGGCUGGUCUCAAACUCCUGGCCUCAAGUGAUCCUCCUGCCUCAGCCUCCCAAAGCACUGGGAUUACAGGCGUGAGCCACCACACCCAGCCAGCUCAUCUAAGUUCAAUAUAGAACAGCUGUGUCUUGUAAGAAAAAACAUUUUGAACAUAUUUGGCUCAACUUAACUGAAAAUGUAAAUAUAAGGUUGCUGUUUAUUUCUAUGGUUUAUCAUUACCGUCAGCUUAAGUGUGAGUUAAACAGUGCUGUCCAUAACCCAUGGUGCCUGCUCUGGCACACAGCGGGACCUGGAGGCUGGGCGGGCAGGGCAGUGUGCCGUUCCUUCUCUUGCUGCAUAACCAGCCAUGGGUCAUGCUCUAUCCUCACCCUGGCCCUGCAGCAAGGCUGUGCAGCACCUGCUCAUGCUCUUAUCUCACAGAGAGAUGCCAUCAAACUGUCCCCAUCAUCACCAGGAUGUGUCACUACCUCACACCAUCCUGGAGCCAGGAGCCACCGCCAGCUCAGUGGCUUCUGUCAGCAUGGUCCAUCACUCCUCACGAUGCUGUCGUCUGCGCUAGGCUCAUCCAGACGGUUCUGCUCCGUGGCGUGUGCUGGGGCUGGAGUGUUCACAGGGGCUGCUGAGCAGGUCCCCACGCUGCCUCUGUGAUGCCUUGAGCUCCUCCAGGUUGUCUGAGUUUCUACAGCCACGGCCACGUCCAAGAGGGGAGAGGCAGGACCCCCAGUCCUCCUAAGAGUUUGGCUUGGAACUGGUGCAGAGUGACUUCUGCCCUUUGUGUUGGUCAGAGCAGGGCACAAGGACAGCCCAGCUUCAGAGGAAGGAGAAAUAGAGUCCACCUCUUCCCAUGAGGCCAGAAUACAUCAUACAGGCAGGAAAGGCAUUUAGAAUCCUUUCUGGAGACUUCUAUAGCCAGCAGGUUCCCAGCUUAGUGUCUGGGGGGUCUGAUUCCCUUUCUGCUGAAAGAGUGAGAAACACUCUCUCCGGCUCCCAGGGAUCUCUGUUUCCCUCCCAGGGUGUCCCUGUUUGUCUCCCGCUGGAAAAGGAAGAAGGAAAAGAACUGUCCUUAUUUCUUCUUUCUUCUGCCUACAUCAAAGCAGGUUUAAAAAAUUAGAAAUUAAGAAUUUAUCAGUAAGAAUGUAGUAAUGUUGAUUUAGGAAAACAAAAUGGCUUAUAACUGCAAGCCAUCCUUAUGUAAAUGUUAAAGCUGAUGGAUCUAGACCAGAAGGGGUCCAGGGGUCUUUGUCUCGGAGAGGCCCAGAUCACAGCUCUCCAAGGUCCAUGCGAGAGGAAUAGUAAACUGAAGCCACACGGCUGCCGUGUAUGCAAAGGGAGCCUGCAGGGUGAGUUUCGUAAAUUAAAGCACCUCUCGGUGUAGACACACACAGACUGACUUCUGCUUGGUCACAGCUUCCAAGCCUCAGGGUAGGUGCAGGCUGAGGGACACCAGGUGCGAGCAUUUUCUGUUUCUUGUCAUGGCACCAGUGUCGUUCCUGUCACCCACGGCACUGAGCUCUGCCCUGGUAACGUCCCUCCCUCCCUCUUAGGCUUUGGCCACCUGCAUUGUUGUGCUACUGGGUCUCCCUGCUAAAGGUUCUGCUUCCUGGUUCCUGCAAGAGCAGAUCUCAGUUUUUCUGUUGUGUU